Molecule: transfer RNA, 71 nt
Filed under: Patescibacteria group bacterium
Lineage: Bacteria
Description: tRNA-Gln
Rfam family: tRNA
About the family: Transfer RNA (tRNA) molecules are approximately 80 nucleotides in length.
Source: RNAcentral
UGCGGGAUCAUCUAGUGGUAGGAUGCAGCACUCUGGAUGCUGUCACCUAGGUUCGAAUCCUAGUCCCGCAG